This 589-nucleotide ribosomal RNA is filed under the name Aprionus brachypterus. Its description in RNAcentral is "eukaryotic LSU rRNA". It matches the Rfam family "Eukaryotic large subunit ribosomal RNA", at positions 402 to 812 of the family's 3401-position model. The record is from RNAcentral. Lineage: Eukaryota; Metazoa; Arthropoda; Insecta; Diptera; Cecidomyiidae.
AAACCGCUUAGGGGUUAAGCCCGAUGAACCUGAAUAUCCGAUGUGGGAAAUUCAAUACGGUAACGAUUGUACGUAAUUGUAUAAUUUUUAUUGUAUGCACUUUUCCCAUAGUAGGACAUUGUAAUCCAUUAAUGUUAUAUCCUCUAAUCAAGGAUGAUUUAACAUAAGGACAGAAUACUUUUGUUUAUUCUAUCUGUGUCAUGAAUACAUGUCAUAUGAGUAAAUGUAUUUUGUACCAGUUUAAAUAGUUGAUGGAUUUAUUGAUGAUCAUGCUUGCAUUCGUUGCGUUUCGUAUUAUUGGUUUUUAAUCGAUGAUAGCAGAAAUGGCAUGUAUCUGAUUAACAAUGCGAUAGAUUUGGGAUGCCCUCGGGACCCGUCUUGAAACACGGACCAAGGAGUCUAACAUAUGUGCAAGUCAUUGGGUAUUUCGUUGAAACCUAUUGGCGCAAUUAAAAUAACUAUAUUUUAAUUUGGGAUCACAAGUGGUGUUCAAUUAUGUGCCGCUUUUUAAUCCCGGGGCGUUCUAUACGAACAUGGUGCAAGCGAUUGUGCCCUCUGUUCAAGAGCGUACCUUGAGCACAUAUGCUGU